AUGUUAUCUACGGCUUGUUGUCUGGGAGAAACGAUCCAAACCAGUGUUAUCUACGGCUGGUUGUCUGAGAGAAACGAUCCAAACCAGUGUUAUCUACGGCUUGUUGUCUGGGAGAAACGAUCCAAACCAGUGUUAUCUACGGCUUGUUGUCUGGGAGAUCCAAACCAGUGUUAUCUACGGCUGGUUGAUUGUCUAUCGUAUGCUGAGAGAAUUAUGUUUUAAUAUUUUUACAUAAUGUGUUUCAUUUAUUUAACUUUACAGUUGUAGGUAAUCUAAACAUGUCUUGUGAUUGUUGUUGUUCAACCCCAAAGUGAUUUUGUUCAUUCUCUCUCCAGCCUCCCAGUCAGCCUAAAGGCUGGUUUACAUUCGAUCAAACAACAUGUCUGUAGACUACUAGAAUGUGACGUGUCCACAGACCGUCUUUAGAUCAACAGUAAAUCAACCUUAAGUUUGGAUCAUGUACUACUGUAUAGCAGCAGAUUGAUGAAAUGAGUUGUAUCCUGUUGUAGCUCACUGAAAUGAGUUGUAUCCUGUUGUAGCUCACUGAAAUGAGUUGUUUCCUGUUGUAGCUCACUGAAAUUAGUUGUAUAUGGUUGUAGCUCACUGAAAUGAGCUCUAUAAGGUUGUAGCUCACUGAAAUGAUUUGUAUCCUGUUGUAGCUCACUGAAAUGAGUUGUAUCCUGUUGUAGCUCACUGAAAUGAGUUGUAUCCUGUUGUAGCUCACUGAAAUGAGUUGUUUCCUGUUGUAGCUCACUGAAAUGAGUUGUAUCCUGUUGUAGCUCACUGAAAUGAGCUCUAUAAGGUUGUAGCUCACUGAAAUGAGUUGUUUCCUGUUGUAGCUCACUGAAAUGAGUUGUAUCCUGUUGUAGCUCACUGAAAUGAGUUGUACCCUGUUGUAGCUCACUGAAAUGAGCUCUAUAAGGUUGUAGCUCACUGAAAUGAGUUGUAUAAGGUUGUAGCUCACUGAAAUGAGCUCUAUAAAGUUGUAGCUCACUGAAAUGAGUUGUAUAAGGUUGUAGCUCACUGAAAUGAGCUCUAUAAGGUUGUAGCUCACUGAAAUGAGUUGUAUCCUGUUGUAGCUCACUGAAAUGAGUUGUAUCCUGUUGUAGCUCACUGAAAUGAGUUGUUUCCUGUUGUAGCUCACUGAAAUGAGUUGUAUAAGGUUGUAGCUCACUGAAAUGAGUUGUAUCCUGUUGUAGCUCACUGAAAUGAGCUCUAUAAGGUUGUAGCUCACUGAAAUGAGUUGUUUCCUGUUGUAGCUCACUGAAAUGAGUUGUAUCCUGUUGUAGCUCACUGAAAUGAGUUGUACCCUGUUGUAGCUCACUGAAAUGAGCUCUAUAAGGUUGUAGCUCACUGAAAUGAGUUGUAUAAGGUUGUAGCUCACUGAAAUGAGCUCUAUAAAGUUGUAGCUCACUGAAAUGAGUUGUAUAAGGUUGUAGCUCACUGAAAUGAGCUCUAUAAGGUUGUAGCUCACUGAAAUGAGUUGUAUCCUGUUGUAGCUCACUGAAAUGAGUUGUAUCCUGUUGUAGCUCACUGAAAUGAGUUGUAUCCUGUUGUAGCUCACUGAAAUGAGUUGUAUCCGGUUGUAGCUCACUGAAAUGAGUUGUUUCCUGUUGUAGCUCACUGAAAUGAGUUGUAACCUGUUGUAGCUCACUGAAAUGAGUUGUAUCCGGUUGUAGCUCACUGAAAUGAGUUGUAUCCUGUUGUAGCUCACUGAAAUGAGUUGUAACCUGUUGUAGCUCACUGAAAUGAGUUGUAUCCGGUUGUAGCUCACUGAAAUGAGUUGUAACCUGUUGUAACUCACUGAAAUAAGUUGUAUCCUGUUGUAGCUCACUGAAAUGAGUUGUAACCUGUUGUAGCUCACUGAAAUGAGUUGUAUCCUGUUGUAGCUCACUGAAAUGAGUUGUAUCCUGUUGUAGCUCACUGAAAUGAGUUGUAUCCGGUUGUAGCUCACUGAAAUGAGUUGUAUCCUGUUGUAGCUCACUGAAAUGAGUUGUAUCCGGUUGUAGCUCACUGAAAUGAGUUGUAUCCUGUUGUAGCUCACUGAAAUGAGUUGUAUCCUGUUGUAGCUCACUGAAAUGAGUUGUAUCCGGUUGUAGCUCACUGAAAUGAGUUGUAUCCUGUUGUAGCUCACUGAAAUGAGUUGUAUCCGGUUGUAGCUCACUGAAAUGAGUUGUAACCUGUUGUAGCUCACUGAAAUGAGUUGUAUCCUGUUGUAGCUCACUGAAAUGAGUUGUAUCCGGUUGUAGCUCACUGAAAUGAGUUGUAACCUGUUGUAGCUCACUGAAAUGAGUUGUAUCCUGUUGUAGCUCACUGAAAUGAGUUGUAUCCGGUUGUAGCUCACUGAAAUGAGUUGUAACCUGUUGUAGCUCACUGACAUUUCAGUUGUGAGGCAUGAGAUGAUUUAAAUAUUUUUGCAAACAUUUUGAGAACAAUAAAAUAUUUAUCCAAUUAAACGUUUGAGUCAGA
Oncorhynchus mykiss (rainbow trout) is the source of this 2469-nucleotide long non-coding RNA. The record is from Ensembl. NCBI's taxonomy places the organism in Eukaryota, Metazoa, Chordata, Actinopteri, Salmoniformes, Salmonidae.